This 435-nucleotide ribosomal RNA is filed under the name uncultured soil bacterium. Its description in RNAcentral is "bacterial SSU rRNA". It matches the Rfam family "Bacterial small subunit ribosomal RNA", at positions 957 to 1393 of the family's 1533-position model. The record is from RNAcentral.
GAACGCGAAGAACCUUACCUGGGUUUGACAUGCACCAGACAUCCCUAGAGAUAGGGCUUCCCUUGUGGUUGGUGUGCAGGUGGUGCAUGGCUGUCGUCAGCUCGUGUCGUGAGAUGUUGGGUUAAGUCCCGCAACGAGCGCAACCCUCGUUCUAUGUUGCCAGCACGUUAUGGUGGGGACUCAUAGGAGACUGCCGGGGUCAACUCGGAGGAAGGUGGGGAUGACGUCAAGUCAUCAUGCCCCUUAUGUCCAGGGCUUCACACAUGCUACAAUGGCCAGUACAGAGGGCUGCGAGACCGUGAGGUGGAGCGAAUCCCUUAAAGCUGGUCUCAGUUCGGAUUGGGGUCUGCAACUCGACCCCAUGAAGUUGGAGUCGCUAGUAAUCGCAGAUCAGCAUUGCUGCGGUGAAUACGUUCCCGGGUCUUGUACACACGC